CCUACGGGCGGCAGCAGUGGGGAAUAUUGCACAAUGGGGGGAACCCUGAUGCAGCAACGCCGCGUGAGUGAAGAAGUAUUUCGGUAUGUAAAGCUCUAUCAGCAGGGAAGAAGAUGACGGUACCUGAGUAAGAAGCACCGGCUAACGACGUGCCAGCAGCCGCGGUAAUACGUAGGGGGAAAGAGUUAUCCGGAUUUACCGGGUGUAAAGGGAGCGUAGACGGCGAGGCAAGUCUGGAGUGAAAGCCCGGGGCUCAACCGCGGGACUGCUGUUGAAACUGCCUGGCUGGAGUGCUGGAGAGGCAAGCGGAAUUCCUAGUGUAGCGGUGAAAUGCGUAGAUAUUAGGAAGAACACCAGUGGCGAAGGCGGCUUGCUGGACAGUAACUGACGUUGAGGCGCGAAAGCGUGGGGAGCAAACAGGAUUAGAUACCCCUGUAGUC
Molecule: ribosomal RNA, 440 nt
Filed under: uncultured bacterium
Lineage: Bacteria
Description: partial 16S ribosomal RNA
Rfam family: Bacterial small subunit ribosomal RNA
Source: RNAcentral